Molecule: non-coding RNA, 1038 nt
Organism: Schizosaccharomyces pombe (fission yeast)
Lineage: Eukaryota; Fungi; Ascomycota; Schizosaccharomycetes; Schizosaccharomycetales; Schizosaccharomycetaceae
Source: the annotation of a GenBank genome assembly
UAGGUUCCUUGACUGUAUUGGAUUCACCCGACUUAUAUCCUUCAACAGCAGCUUCCUCAAGCUGAUGUUGAAUAGAUGUUAACCGCAUGCGAGGCGUUGGUAACGCACAUCGAUGUACAGGACUUAAACGAGGAGUGGAGUACUUCUCCUUUAUCUUGGUAGGUGUUCUCACUAAUUCAUAUAUAUCCCUAACCAUCUAAUUAGCACAUAUGAUAAACAACAAAUGCGUACGACUCUAGCUGUAACUUGGAAACUUCAAGCAUGUGUUCAUUCAACCAGUCCAUGGUUUCAGAUACAAGGAAGAAGAAUUCUUUCAUUUUUCCAUUAGUGAGUUGUUGGGAGUAUUCCAACUCCUUAUUAAACCAUAGUUCUGACCCAUUAGAGCCCAUCCUGUUUGGUUACAUAUAAAGAAUGAGCUAGUUGCUGGAGAGUGGUCGGUGGUGGAAGCAAUCAAAUGUCAACAAUAUACAACAGUAGUUGUAUACCUAAGCUUCCAACUAAAUUUAUAAACAAUUAUGCUUUCCCAAUUUACAAAUGAUCAAAAGGUUUAUUGUUUUCAAGAUUUAAAUGUAAAUAUCAAGUUCCGAUGUUAUAAACAAUUGUUAGGAAUAUAGACAUCGGUUAACGACGAAGAGGUUUUUAACGAAGUAACACUUUAAGCCAUACAUUUUUUCGAGAUGCCGAUGCUGAUUUUAUUGCAGUAAUUAUUGAGUGGAAUAAGCAACCCAAUGCAUGCAACCUAUCGUUCGUUUGAUCAGCAGACAGAGUUAACUAGUUUGUGUUCAAAUAUCUUUCACCAUUUGUUUAUGUUUAGUAUAUAGCAAGCGGCACAGACAUAAAAGUUUCUAUUGAACGGCUACAAGCAAUUUGUCAUGCUUUAUACGCUUGUCAUUUAUUGGAUUUUUUUAAUGAUUCGAUCUACAAUAUUCACGCAUUUUCUCCAUUUUUUGUUCACAUACUUGCCAUAGCUUUUAAAAAUAAUUUUUCCAAUCAGACAGAGAUAAAUGCCAAAUAUCAUACACUUGUCUUUAAGUUUUC